AUCAACUUUCGAUGGUAGGAUAGAGGCCUACCAUGGUGGUAACGGGUAACGGGGUGUUAGGGCACGACACCGGAGAGGGAGCCUGAGAAACGACUACCACAUCCAAGGAUGGCAGCAGGCGCGCAAAUUACCCAAUCCCGACACGGGGAGGUAGUGACAAUAAAUAACAAUACGGGGUUCUUUCGGAUCUCGUAAUUGGAAUGAGUACAAUUUAAAUCUCUUAACGAGGAACAAUUGGAGGGCAAGUCUGGUGCCAGCAGCCGCGGUAAUUCCAGCUCCAAUAGCGUAUAUUAAAGUUGUUGCAGUUAAAAAGCUCGUAGUUGAAUUUCGGGAUCAGAUUGUUGGUCGUGCCUCGGUACGCACUGGCAUUAUUGGUUCCUACCUUCUGAAGAACCGCGAUGUCAUUAAUUUGGUGUCGUGGGGAAUUAGGACUGUUACCUUGAAAAAAUUAGAGUGUUUAAAGCAGGCUCACGCUUGAAUACAUUAGCAUGGAAUAAUGAAAUAGGACAUCCGAUUCUAUUUUGUUGGUUUCUAGGAUCGAUGUAAUGAUUAAUAGGGAUAGUUGGGGGCAUUAGUAUUCAAUUGUCAGAGGUGAAAUUCUUGGAUUUAUUGAAGACUAACUACUGCGAAAGCAUUUGCCAAGGAUGUUUUCAUUAAUCAAGAACGAAAGUUAGGGGAUCGAAGACGAUCAGAUACCGUCGUAGUCUUAACCAUAAACUAUGUCGACUAGGGAUCGGAUGAUGUUAAUUUUUUAAUGACUCAUUCGGCGCCUUACGGGAAACCAAAGUGUUUGGGUUC
Molecule: ribosomal RNA, 798 nt
Filed under: uncultured Glomus
Lineage: Eukaryota; Fungi; Glomeromycota; Glomeromycetes; Glomerales; Glomeraceae
Description: SSU rRNA
Rfam family: Eukaryotic small subunit ribosomal RNA
Source: RNAcentral